This 722-nucleotide long non-coding RNA is filed under the name Monodelphis domestica (gray short-tailed opossum). RNAcentral describes it as "lncRNA (ENSMODG00000048446.1)". Lineage: Eukaryota; Metazoa; Chordata; Mammalia; Didelphimorphia; Didelphidae. The record is from RNAcentral.
GCAUGAACGGGAUAGGCAGACCCAGCCCGAUUUAAGGAUAACGGAAACCCCUAAGAAUAAGUGACGUCAGUCACGGGGUGGGCGGGGGCGGGCAGUGAGCCAGAGAAGGGAGAGAAGGGCGAAUUUAAAGCUAUUUGCCAGGACGGUGUCAGGGCACAACAUGCUAGAAGAAGAUCAGGCAGCCAGAGAAGGCUCCAGCUCCGCCUGAGUUCCUGUAGUUGAGGUCCCAGAGCCGGUCCUGUGUGGCCUCCCUGCCCUGGCCUGGGGCGCUCACGUGCUCCUGAGGGAGGCGGCUGUUCUGCCGGCCCCUGCCUGGAAGUGGCCACACCCGGGUCCCGUCGCCCCUCGCAGCUAGUCAGCUGGUUUCUUCAAGCAGGAACAAGGAAGUCCUGAGGGCCAGAAAGAAAAAGUUGUGACCCCAACAGGAACUGGAUUCCACUAAACAGGAUAAUGAUGGGAUCAGACAUGUGAGUUCUUUUAUUUAUUUAUUUUUAUGUAGACUAUUUUUCCAUGAUUCCAUGUUUUCUGAUUUCUUCCCACUCCUCUUUCCUCCCCCCUCUCAGAGUUGACAAGUAGUUCUACUUGGUUAUAUAUGUGUCAUGGUUCAAAACCUAUUUACAUAUUAGUCAUAUUUGCAGUAGAGUGAUCUUUUAACUCCAAUACCCUAAUCAUAUUCCAUUGAACCAGGCGAUCAAUCAUAUGUUUCCAUUCUUCCUUUCUGC